UAAUGGAGAGUCACCUAGGCUCAGGUC
RNAcentral lists this non-coding RNA (27 nucleotides) under Mus musculus (house mouse). Lineage: Eukaryota; Metazoa; Chordata; Mammalia; Rodentia; Muridae. The record is from RNAcentral.